AUUGAACGCUGGCGGAAUGCUUUACACAUGCAAGUCGAGCGGCAGCGCGGGGCAACCUGGCGGCGAGCGGCGAACGGGUGAGUAAUACAUCGGAACGUACCCAGUUGUGGGGGAUAGCCCGGCGAAAGCCGGAUUAAUACCGCAUACGACCUGAGGGUGAAAGGGGGGAGUCGCAAGACCUCUCGCAGUUGGAGCGGCCGAUGGCGGAUUAGCUAGUUGGUAGGGUAAAGGCCUACCAAGGCGACGAGUCCGUAGCUGGUCUGAGAGGACGACCAGCCACACUGGAACUGAGACACGGUCCAGACUCCUACGGGAGGCAGCAGUGGGGAAUUUUUGGACGAAUGGGGGCGAACCCUGAGUCCAGCCAUUCCGCGUGAGUGAAGAAGGCCUCGGUUGUAAGACGUCUUUCGGUC
Molecule: ribosomal RNA, 413 nt
Filed under: uncultured bacterium
Lineage: Bacteria
Description: bacterial SSU rRNA
Rfam family: Bacterial small subunit ribosomal RNA
Source: RNAcentral